UUAAGCGACUAAGCGUACACGGUGGAUGCCCUGGCAGUCAGAGGCGAUGAAGGACGUGCUAAUCUGCGAUAAGCGUCGGUGAGGUGAUAUGAACCGUUAUAACCGGCGAUUUCCGAAUGGGGAAACCCAGUGUGUUUCGACACACUAUCAUUAACUGAAUCCAUAGGUUAAUGAGGCGAACCGGGGGAACUGAAACAUCUAAGUACCCCGAGGAAAAGAAAUCAACCGAGAUUCCCCCAGUAGCGGCGAGCGAACGGGGAGGAGCCCAGAGCCUGAAUCAGUGUGUGUGUUAGUGGAAGCGUCUGGAAAGGCGUGCGAUACAGGGUGACAGCCCCGUACACAAAAAUGCACAUAUUGUGAGCUCGAUGAGUAGGGCGGGACACGUGGUAUCCUGUCUGAAUAUGGGGGGACCAUCCUCCAAGGCUAAAUACUCCUGACUGACCGAUAGUGAACCAGUACCGUGAGGGAAAGGCGAAAAGAACCCCGGCGAGGGGAGUGAAAAAGAACCUGAAACCGUGUACGUACAAGCAGUGGGAGCCUCUUAAUGGGGUGACUGCGUACCUUUUGUAUAAUGGGUCAGCGACUUAUAUUCUGUAGCAAGGUUAACCGAAUAGGGGAGCCGAAGGGAAACCGAGUCUUAACUGGGCGUUAAGUUGCAGGGUAUAGACCCGAAACCCGGUGAUCUAGCCAUGGGCAGGUUGAAGGUUGGGUAACACUAACUGGAGGACCGAACCGACUAAUGUUGAAAAAUUAGCGGAUGACUUGUGGCUGGGGGUGAAAGGCCAAUCAAACCGGGAGAUAGCUGGUUCUCCCCGAAAGCUAUUUAGGUAGCGCCUCGUGAAUUCAUCUCCGGGGGUAGAGCACUGUUUCGGCAAGGGGGUCAUCCCGACUUACCAACCCGAUGCAAACUGCGAAUACCGGAGAAUGUUAUCACGGGAGACACACGGCGGGUGCUAACGUCCGUCGUGAAGAGGGAAACAACCCAGACCGCCAGCUAAGGUCCCAAAGUCAUGGUUAAGUGGGAAACGAUGUGGGAAGGCCCAGACAGCCAGGAUGUUGGCUUAGAAGCAGCCAUCAUUUAAAGAAAGCGUAAUAGCUCACUGGUCGAGUCGGCCUGCGCGGAAGAUGUAACGGGGCUAAACCAUGCACCGAAGCUGCGGCAGCGACACUAUGUGUUGUUGGGUAGGGGAGCGUUCUGUAAGCCUGUGAAGGUGGCCUGUGAGGGUUGCUGGAGGUAUCAGAAGUGCGAAUGCUGACAUAAGUAACGAUAAAGCGGGUGAAAAGCCCGCUCGCCGGAAGACCAAGGGUUCCUGUCCAACGUUAAUCGGGGCAGGGUGAGUCGACCCCUAAGGCGAGGCCGAAAGGCGUAGUCGAUGGGAAACAGGUUAAUAUUCCUGUACUUGGUGUUACUGCGAAGGGGGGACGGAGAAGGCUAUGUUGGCCGGGCGACGGUUGUCCCGGUUUAAGCGUGUAGGCUGGUUUUCCAGGCAAAUCCGGAAAACCAAGGCUGAGGCGUGAUGACGAGGCACUACGGUGCCGAAGUGACAAAUGCCCUGCUUCCAGGAAAAGCCUCUAAGCAUCAGGUAACAUCAAAUCGUACCCCAAACCGACACAGGUGGUCAGGUAGAGAAUACCAAGGCGCUUGAGAGAACUCGGGUGAAGGAACUAGGCAAAAUGGUGCCGUAACUUCGGGAGAAGGCACGCUGAUAUGUAGGUGAAGCGACUUGCUCGUGGAGCUGAAAUCAGUCGAAGAUACCAGCUGGCUGCAACUGUUUAUUAAAAACACAGCACUGUGCAAACACGAAAGUGGACGUAUACGGUGUGACGCCUGCCCGGUGCCGGAAGGUUAAUUGAUGGGGUUAGCGGUAACGCGAAGCUCUUGAUCGAAGCCCCGGUAAACGGCGGCCGUAACUAUAACGGUCCUAAGGUAGCGAAAUUCCUUGUCGGGUAAGUUCCGACCUGCACGAAUGGCGUAAUGAUGGCCAGGCUGUCUCCACCCGAGACUCAGUGAAAUUGAACUCGCUGUGAAGAUGCAGUGUACCCGCGGCAAGACGGAAAGACCCCGUGAACCUUUACUAUAGCUUGACACUGAACAUUGAGCCUUGAUGUGUAGGAUAGGUGGGAGGCUUUGAAGUGUGGACGCCAGUCUGCAUGGAGCCGACCUUGAAAUACCACCCUUUAAUGUUUGAUGUUCUAACGUUGGCCCGUAAUCCGGGUUGCGGACAGUGUCUGGUGGGUAGUUUGACUGGGGCGGUCUCCUCCUAAAGAGUAACGGAGGAGCACGAAGGUUGGCUAAUCCUGGUCGGACAUCAGGAGGUUAGUGCAAUGGCAUAAGCCAGCUUGACUGCGAGCGUGACGGCGCGAGCAGGUGCGAAAGCAGGUCAUAGUGAUCCGGUGGUUCUGAAUGGAAGGGCCAUCGCUCAACGGAUAAAAGGUACUCCGGGGAUAACAGGCUGAUACCGCCCAAGAGUUCAUAUCGACGGCGGUGUUUGGCACCUCGAUGUCGGCUCAUCACAUCCUGGGGCUGAAGUAGGUCCCAAGGGUAUGGCUGUUCGCCAUUUAAAGUGGUACGCGAGCUGGGUUUAGAACGUCGUGAGACAGUUCGGUCCCUAUCUGCCGUGGGCGCUGGAGAACUGAGGGGGGCUGCUCCUAGUACGAGAGGACCGGAGUGGACGCAUCACUGGUGUUCGGGUUGUCAUGCCAAUGGCACUGCCCGGUAGCUAAAUGCGGAAGAGAUAAGUGCUGAAAGCAUCUAAGCACGAAACUUGCCCCGAGAUGAGUUCUCCCUGACUCCUUGAGGGUCCUGAAGGAACGUUGAAGACGACGACGUUGAUAGGCCGGGUGUGUAAGCGCAGCGAUGCGUUGAGCUAACCGGUACUAAUGAACCGUGAGGCUUAACCUU
RNAcentral lists this ribosomal RNA (2902 nucleotides) under Escherichia coli HVH 86 (4-7026218). RNAcentral describes it as "bacterial LSU rRNA". It matches the Rfam family "Bacterial large subunit ribosomal RNA". Lineage: Bacteria; Pseudomonadati; Pseudomonadota; Gammaproteobacteria; Enterobacterales; Enterobacteriaceae. RNAcentral also lists the same sequence under 1 other name. The record is from RNAcentral.